RNAcentral lists this ribosomal RNA (253 nucleotides) under uncultured Akkermansia sp. RNAcentral's name for it is "partial 16S ribosomal RNA". It matches the Rfam family "Bacterial small subunit ribosomal RNA", at positions 524 to 776 of the family's 1533-position model. The record is from RNAcentral. Lineage: Bacteria; Pseudomonadati; Verrucomicrobiota; Verrucomicrobiia; Verrucomicrobiales; Akkermansiaceae.
UACAGAGGUCUCAAGCGUUGUUCGGAAUCACUGGGCGUAAAGCGUGCGUAGGCUGUUUCGUAAGUCGUGUGUGAAAGGCGCGGGCUCAACCCGCGGACGGCACAUGAUACUGCGAGACUAGAGUAAUGGAGGGGGAACCGGAAUUCCUGGUGUAGCGGUGAAAUGCGUAGAUAUCAGGAGGAACACCGGUGGCGAAGGCGGCUUACUGGACCAUAACUGACGUUGAGGCUCGAAAGCGUGGGGAGCGAACAGG